This 304-nucleotide ribosomal RNA is filed under the name uncultured bacterium. RNAcentral describes it as "partial 16S ribosomal RNA". It matches the Rfam family "Bacterial small subunit ribosomal RNA", at positions 506 to 809 of the family's 1533-position model. The record is from RNAcentral.
CAGCAGCAGCCGCGGGAAUACAGAGGGUGCGAGCGUUAAUCGGAUUUACUGGGCGUAAAGCGUGCGUAGGCGGCUUUUUAAGUCGGAUGUGAAAUCCCUGAGCUUAACUUAGGAAUUGCAUUCGAUACUGGGAAGCUAGAGUAUGGGAGAGGAUGGUAGAAUUCCAGGUGUAGCGGUGAAAUGCGUAGAGAUCUGGAGGAAUACCGAUGGCGAAGGCAGCCAUCUGGCCUAAUACUGACGCUGAGGUACGAAAGCAUGGGGAGCAAACAGGAUUAGAUACCCCAGUAGUCCCUGUCUCUUAUAA